RNAcentral lists this long non-coding RNA (282 nucleotides) under Homo sapiens (human). RNAcentral's name for it is "non-protein coding lnc-SLC30A7-7:1". Lineage: Eukaryota; Metazoa; Chordata; Mammalia; Primates; Hominidae. The record is from RNAcentral.
CUCCAUUUAGCUGGAUCUUUGUUGUUGUUUUUUUUUUUUAUCUUAGAAAUGGGGUCUCACUCUGUCAUCCAGACCAGAGUGCAGUAGCUCAAUAAUAGCUUAAUGUAACCCCAAAUCCCUCGGUUCAAGCAAUCAUCCUGCCCCAGUCUCUCAAGUAGCUAGGACUACAGAUGUGUGCCGCUACACCUGGUUAAUUUUUUAAAUUUUCUUGUAGAGAAGGGGUAACACUAUGUUGCCUCGACUGGUCUCAAACUCCUGGCCUCAAGCAGUCCUCCUGCCUAG